CAUCAAGAAGCUAAACCAGCAUUAACCUUUUAAGUUAAAGACUGAGAGCACUACCCUCUCCUUGAUGA
This 68-nucleotide transfer RNA is filed under the name Cephalophus silvicultor (yellow-backed duiker). RNAcentral describes it as "tRNA-Lys". RNAcentral also lists the same sequence under 3 other names. The record is from RNAcentral. Lineage: Eukaryota; Metazoa; Chordata; Mammalia; Artiodactyla; Bovidae.